AUUAAUUAGAUCUUAAAACAAGCACUGUACAUUUUUUUCUGCAAAACAACUCUGUUCUGGUAAAACACUUAACAAAACUCCUGGGAAGCAGAGGCAGGCGGAUCUCUGUGAGUUCGAGGCCAGCCUGGUCUAACAGAGCAAGCUCCAGGACAGCCAAGGCUACACAGAGAAACCCUGUCUUGAAAAAGAAAGAGCAACAACAUAACUUAGUUAGGCACUUUAUUUUAUACAUGAGCGCUUUUGCCUGCAUGCAUGUAUAUGCACCAUUUGCGCGCCUGGUACAAUCGAGUUCAGGAGAAGGCAGCAGACCCUAGGAACUGCAGACACAAAUGGCUGUGAGUCACCAUUCAGCUGCUGGAACAGAACUCAGGUCCUCUGGAAGAACAGCCAGUACUCUUAAUCACUGAACCAUCUCUCCAGGCCCCUAAAAAGCUAUAUGAAAACUAUAUGCUAUAUGAAAUACACUCUGAAUUUAAACAUUAACUACCAACAUUAAAAUGCAAAAUAACUCAACUUUUAAGCAUUAAUUGUAUAGCAAAAAUGAGUACUAUUUAACUAAUAGUACCCUAUUGAGUUAAAUAAAACCCUAAUCUAAUCUUUAAAAGAAAACAGUGUAACCCUAAGCCGGAGAUGGUAGUGCAUGCCUUUAAUGCCAGCACUCAGGAGGCAGAGGCAGGUGGAUCUCUAAGGGUUGGAGGCCAGCCUGGGCUACAGAGCAAAUUCCAAGACAGCCAGAGCCAUACAGAGAAACCCUUGUCUCACACAACCAAAACCAAAACCAACAAAACAUAACCCUAACCCUUUGAGGGGUGGGGGAUGCACUCCUCAAAGUUGGGUUUUUGUUUGUUUUUUGAGACAGGGUUUCACUGUGUAGCCCUGGCUGUCCUGGAACUCACUCUGUAGCUCAGGCUGGCCUUGAACUCAAGAGAUUUGUUUGCCUCUGCCUCCAAAGUGCUGGGAUUAAGUGUGUGUUACCACCACCUGCAACAGAAAGUUUUAAUAUACUUAUGGAGAUGGCAUUCUAUAUUUCUGCUCUAGAGAGUGGAUUCCCAGUCAAUUUUUAUUUAUUGGUACUAAAGCUUGAACCCAGGGCCUCACCUACAUAGGCAGGUAUUCUACCACUGAGCUACAUCUCCUGCCCCUACAGUUGAUUUUUCAUUUUCUGUCUCUACUAAAGACCUCAGAAACACCAGAGACAUUGCCAGUGGGGGAAAUGGGAUGUGUUGGGGCUGAGGUCCUGACUCUCAGAGCUGGACCAAGCUUAUGGAGCUGAUACCUGGGCAGGUCAGCCAUGAUGUAUCUGGCUGGGUCCUGAAUGGCAGGAGGUUCCAGUGGGUGCUGGGCCACAGACUCUACACUUGAAACAGCAUGAGCUCAACAGGCUCACAAAGCCUGAAGCCCUAGGAUCCAGCAUGGCACCACUGUCUCUCUCAGUUAUGGCCGGCAAGAUGGGAGGCCUGGUCUACUCACUGGGGUGCUCACAAUGGAAUCUCAGCGAGCAGAGCUUUCUGUAUCCAGGGCUCAAUCUCCCUAAUGCUGAAGUCCUUUAAUAUAUCAUGGUGACCCUCAAUCAUAAAUUAUUUCAUCUAUACUUAACCACUGUAAUUUUGCUACUAUUAGGAAUCAUAAUGUAAAUAUCUGUGUUUUCCCAUGGUCUUAGGUGACCCCCUAAGGGGUCACAACCCACAGGGUGAGAAGAGAAGGCAUUAUGGCAAGGCAUGUUUUCCUGAUGCUAUCAGCACAGAACUCUUUUGAAAUCUGCAGAAGGGUUUCUUGGUUUAUUUUUGCUUUGCUUUGUUGAGACAGGGUCUCACUAUGCCUCCUAGCUGGCCCUGGAACUCUUUAUGUACAGCAGGAUGGCUUUGGGCUGAGAUCCACCUGCUUCUUCCUACUGAAUGAAUUGGAUCAUUGAAGGUAUGUACCACCAUGCCUGGUCCAGAAGGGCAUCUUUAAAAAGCAUCUUUCUGCUUUAAUCCCAGCACUCAGGAGACAGAGGCAGAGAGACAAGAGCUCUGUGAGUUCGGGGCCAACCUGGUCUACAGAGCUAGUUCCAGGAUAGACAAAGCUGUUAAACAGAGAAACCCUGUCUCAAAAACAGAAACAAAACAACAAUAAAAUCCCCAUCAUUCCACCUUUUCAAACACAUGCCCAUGGUGGUCUUCAUCCACAAAAACAGAGGCCAGGCUGCCUGCAGGAGCUGGGGCUGUCUGCCCUAUGCUGGCUAGCCAAGGUGACAAGGUCCUACAAGGACCACACUCCAUCUGCCACCUAGCAUUCUCUCCUGAUUUAUGACAAUAGGGUUCUCCAAGUGCAGAUCUGUCCCUGCCACUUUUCAUGGCCUCACACAAGGUUUUGGGAGCCACAUCCUGAGCCCCAGUGAGUACUUAGGAACCAGGAAAUGCCAUUGUUUAAAACUAUUCAUCACCACAAACAGCCUGAACUAGGGGGAACACUCCUUUGAGGUAAAUCCAAAGGGUCAGAUAACCUUUCCCUUCCCAGAGGUUACAGCUCUGGGGAUCAGGCCUCAGCCACAAUGACUGUCUUCAUCAAGGUGACUGUUUGGCGGCUCUGGGAAUUGUCCGGGUCCUAAGCCUUUUCUCCCUUCUCUGGUGGGAAGGUCACCCCAAGAUCCAAUUGUCACAGCAACUCAACCACUGGCGUCUGUUGGCCCUCAGUCGGUGAGAGAAAUUGGUAAGUGCAACUUCUGGGCCCACAGCUUUCUCGAAGCCCAUGCUUCAGAACCCCCACAUCCCGUCUCCUGGAAAAGGGGCAGUGCCUUAGGCAAGCAAUGACAAGCUAUUGCCACCCAGGGGGCAGUUCAGGGUGUGAGGGAUGUUGACAGAUCACCAGGUGGGGAGGACAGUGGACUUCUCCUGGGGCUGUGACCCAUAUUUCCCUGUUCAAAAAUGGGCCCUGUGAACUCUAAAAGCCUCUUGGGUCUAAAUAAACCUGUAUUCAAGUCUCGGUUUUCCAAACAGAGGAUCCCACAGCAGCCUUUCUGAAUAUUGGUGCUAUGGUAAUUGCUUCAGUUUGCAUGGAGUUCUGUCAGUGUCAAGGCACUGGAGACUCUCGUUAAUGAAGGGCCUGCGGUGUGCAGGAGCUGGAAUUGAGUAGGCCAGCUCCUAAGAGGACUAGAACUCAACAGCUCCAGCUUCCAGUCCUUUGGGUAAGGGUUCAGUGAGGAUUGCGAAACCCGUCUCAGGUCUUCUGGUUACUCAGUGGGGUCAGAAGACUGGACAGCACUGCCACCUGGUGUCCGGCUGGGGUAGCGUUAGGUUCCCCAGCCGGGGAGAGGUAGCACUGGGCACACACACAGCGGCAGGCUCCCGUCCAGACACUCAUCAAGUUCAGACUAACUUCACGUCCUCAUCAGGACGUCCUCAUCCAGGAUACAGGUGCUUAGGCGCACACAGGGCAGUGAGGCCCUCCAGGGCACAGGGCUGGCACGAGAUGGCUCUGUUGGGAGGGCUCUGAUGCACACACCUCAGCCAGCUGUCUGGGGGCGGGGUCUUUUGGUUAUUCCUGCCUGAGGGUGACACACUCCCUUACUGAUUUCUGUCCUCUCUCUUGUUGGAUAUGUGUGGGCAGCUAUUGAUCGAGUUCAGCCAUUUGCCAAGGUAUAUACACAUUUUAUUUAAAAAAGUUUACAGUUUUCAUUAUACACAACUAUUAAGAGGUUAUAGGAGGCAUUUGUCCAGGUGACAGACAUGCCCACUAGAUCAUCACAAUGCAAGGAAGGUGGAAGGAAGGAGCCAGGGCAGGGGGGGAGAGCGGUAAAAAGCUUCGAUUUCAAUUAAGGGCUGCUGAGUCCCUUUAUCUCUUCAAGUAUCACACAAUGUGUACCAAAUACAAUCAGUAAUUCAAGGCCAUUUCUUCCCACGCCCACAGCCAAGUAACUGCUACCCCAAGAGCCAUGGCCAUCCUCGGGUGAGUGGAAAGCUGCACCCCACGACCCCAAAGGGCCUUCACUCCAUCCAGUCCCUAAAGAGCUGGCCAAGGGGUUCGGUGGCCAAAGGAAGAUGAACAUGGAUUCACAAGUCCAAAGAAAUGCAGUCCUUUGUGCCCAAUCAGAAACAAGUCGGUUUUUCACUCAGCAAGGCUAUGACCCAAUCAGAAGUGAAGAAAACAAAGUAAAACCCUUUGCUAACUUGUAAAUUGCUUCACUUUCCUGAGUCACUAAAACAGAGGGGCCACAUAUCAUUAAAAUCCAAUACCAGUUUUCAGAAACCUGACCUAGAGAGACUAGACUGGCAGAGGAUCUGUCAUGAUUCUUAGCCACCCCAAAAGGUGGCCUAGAAAAUGCAAGUAUCAGGUCAAGGCCAACUAGAACUUCGGGGAGCCCUUUCCAGGACACAUUUCCUCUGAGAAGACGCACUCCUCAGGAGCCUAGAUCAGCCGUUGGCAAUUAGAACAGCGCUUGAAGUGGACAGAAACAUUAGUGCUGGAGAGAUGUGGCAACUUCUGAGAACUCUCUCGUUAGUAGGAAAUGCUGGUUGAAGCUGCACAGUACUCUCGAGGAAGGUGGAGACUGCUGACAAGAAAUGUCAAGUGCCAGGGUCUAUGUUGGCAACCACAGAACACAGCCCACUGGCCCAGUGCUGGGCUCUGGGGGCAGAGGGACGCGGCAGGUGUGGGCUGCCAGGCAGCAGCCACUUUGCUUGUCGGUGUUUGGCAAGAACUCCAGUCAUCUGAAUGGCUUGCACUGGUAAACCACACGGUAGGCCCUCAAAAUGGUUAGUACAAGGGGUGGGCAAAUGCCAGCAACAGCCCGGACCUACUGCUCCCCCUCCAAGGCAAGGAGUCCUCAGCCUCCAAAGGAGCUCAGCACCCCCUUGGGAGUCAGGAGGGACGCCCACAGCCAACUAGAGAGGGUUUCGGUGCCCAAACAGCAGAGCUCACCUAUUUACUAUGGAGACCUGGAGCCCUCAGAGUCACAGCCAGGCUUUAUUUCUGGUCCUUUGCACCUAUGGAUAUGGUAUGGUCAUCUAGUCCUACCUCACCAAGGAGUAAGGAAGGGCCAGAAAGAUUGCGAAGUCAACUUCCUAGCAGAGUCAAGGCCCAGAGAGCAGCAACGUGCACAGAACCAGACCUGGCUCCAGGAAGUUGAGGGUAGAGUGAUUUGGGGGGCAGUCAUGACCUGUCAGUACUGCAGUGAUUCACUAUUCACCCGGAUGGACCUUCUGCCCUGCGGCCUCAAGCCCUAGGCUCCACAUGGGCAUUCUGCACGGUCAGCUGUGUACUGCUGUUGCUCUGCAUGGGAGGGAGUGAUGUGUCUUCAAUGCAGCAAGGUGGAUUCUGGGGAGGGUCGGAGCAGCAGCUGCUUACACCCAUUCCCUAAACUUGACUCUGUGAUGCUUUGUUUGAUUUUUGUUUUGUUUUGUAUUUCUUUCAACAAGAUUGAACACAAUUAUCAGGAUCUUUUUUUUGAAAGGUAAUUAGAAUACUAUUUUUAUACAGUAUUGAAAAAAUACAAUUUUUUAUUGUUUGAACUCAAUCACCACCCAGCACUUCAAGCCUACCCUAAGUAGCACCUACAGAAAAGGUCAGAGCAUGAGCAAACUGCUAGUCCUCAGGGGAAGCAAUGUGGAGGCACCAGCAGACCCUCCUUCCCCCCGACAGAAGACAGCAUGCCAGGUAAGCACGGCCGCAUUACACGACACAGCGAUUCACAACUGCUGAAGCCACCUUCCAACAGGCAGGGUGCCCAAGGGGGCAGCGCAGUGAACUGACCACAGCCCCCCCACAGAACUGCAGUUUCCCCAAAGAAAACCUUUUGCUUCAUGCCCGUAAUUAACAUAAAAUAAGUAAAUUAUUUGUCUUUUUAUUUAGGAAAAUAAUCAUGCUAAAAGUUGUACUUUAUAUAGAUUUUCAAAGGAAAAACUGAUUGUGCUUUCUGAAUUAAAAAAGAGAGGUGUCUCCCAACCUCACC
Molecule: long non-coding RNA, 5929 nt
Organism: Peromyscus californicus insignis
Lineage: Eukaryota; Metazoa; Chordata; Mammalia; Rodentia; Cricetidae
Exons: 2
Source: RefSeq, a predicted model, not a curated record